CCUGCGCCCGGGGACCGGAAUCCCCGACAAGGGGUGGUCAGCUCAGCGGCAGCACUGGACCCUCUACCUGCCCCCGUCCCCCGAUUGUACGGAAGUCUGCAGCGUGUCUCAGGCCACACUGUUCAGGCUAAGACCGGCUGUGCCGGAGGGGCACAACACCUGAGUGGAGAUGAGCAGCCCAGGGGCGCCCUGCUGGCCCGCACCCUGCCCAGACCACAGAAGGCAAAGAGGUCGCUGAGUUUCCCUAGGAUCACCAGCUGUCAUGGACUGAUUUGUGUCUCUCCAAAUUCAUAUGUUGAAUACUUAACCUGCCAUGCGAUUGUGAUUGGAGAUAAUUCCUUUAGGGAAGCAAUGAAGGUUAAAUGAGGUCAUAGGUGGGAGCUUAAUCCAAUGGGACUGGGGUCCCUACAAGAAGAGGAAGACACCAGAGCUCUCUGUCUCCACACACAGAGAAAAGAGGCUGUAUGAGGACACAAGAGAAGGUAAUAGCUGUCUACAAACCAAGAAGAGAAGCCUCUCCAGAAAAUGAACCCUGCUGGAACUUGGUCUUGGACUUUCCAGCCUCCAGAACUGGGAGAAAAUAAAGUUCUGUUGUGUAAGCCCCCAAGUCCACGGUAUUUUGUUAUGGCAGCCCUAGCAGACUAAUAACACCUGCUAAUUAAACUACUCGUUCUCCACUUGUUGUCUCAGGGUCUGCUCCUAGGGAACCUGGACUCAGACAGAUGCUCUGCUUAAUUAGGCCCCAGGGAAAUGUAAAUGAAAACCACAUGUGAUGCCAUGUCACAAGUACUAGGAUAACCAGAAGGAAAUCUGACCACAUCGGAUGCUGGUGAGGUUGGGAAGCUGUCAUAUUUAGCUGAUGGAGGUGUGAGUCGGCAAACCACUUUGGAAAACUGUUUGUCAGUAUGAAAUAAAGCUAAAGCUAUGUAAACUACAUGGCCUAGCAACUUUGCUAAUAGGUACACCUCAGCAGAAAUACAUACAGACGUUCACCGAAAGACAGGUGCAAA
Pan troglodytes (chimpanzee) is the source of this 1010-nucleotide long non-coding RNA. RefSeq lists it as uncharacterized. The transcript has 3 exons. Lineage: Eukaryota; Metazoa; Chordata; Mammalia; Primates; Hominidae. The record is from RefSeq and is a predicted model, not a curated record.